AACGAACGUUGGCGGCGUGGAUGAGGCAUGCAAGUCGAACGCGAAAGCCGCAAGGUGAGUAGAGUGGCGGACGGGCGAGUAACACGUAAUCAAGCUGCCUGCGAGACGGGGAUAACCUCGGGAAACCGAAGCUAAGACCCGAUGGUUUGCGAGGACCGCAUGGUCCAUGCAAUAAAUGGGCGGGACCUUUCGGGGUCGCCUGCUCGCAGAGGUGAUUGCGGCCCAUCAGCUAGUUGGUAGGGUAAUGGCCUACCAAGGCAACGACGGGUAGCCGGCCUUAGAGGGUGGUCGGCCGCACUGGGACUGAGACACUGCCCAGACUCCUACGGGAGGCUGCAGUCGAGAAUCUUCCGCAAUGGGCGAAAGCCUGACGGAGCGACGCCGCGUGGAGGAU
This 394-nucleotide ribosomal RNA is filed under the name uncultured bacterium. RNAcentral describes it as "bacterial SSU rRNA". It matches the Rfam family "Bacterial small subunit ribosomal RNA", at positions 29 to 409 of the family's 1533-position model. The record is from RNAcentral.